GGGUGAUUAGCUCAGCUGGGAGAGCACCUCCCUUACAAGGAGGGGGUCGGCGGUUCGAUCCCGUCAUCACCUU
This 73-nucleotide transfer RNA is filed under the name Klebsiella pneumoniae. RNAcentral's name for it is "tRNA-Val". It matches the Rfam family "tRNA". From Rfam's summary of the family: Transfer RNA (tRNA) molecules are approximately 80 nucleotides in length. RNAcentral also lists the same sequence under 1 other name. The record is from RNAcentral. Lineage: Bacteria; Pseudomonadati; Pseudomonadota; Gammaproteobacteria; Enterobacterales; Enterobacteriaceae.